Molecule: long non-coding RNA, 2207 nt
Organism: Leguminivora glycinivorella
Lineage: Eukaryota; Metazoa; Arthropoda; Insecta; Lepidoptera; Tortricidae
Exons: 4
Source: RefSeq, a predicted model, not a curated record
ACGCUGCGAGUGCGCCACCAGUCCGCCAUCUUUCUUACCUUUUUGAUGGUUGUUGACUUGUAAAUUUUGUAAUUAGUUUUUGCCGACGUCCGUUUUUUAAGUAAUUUUUGGUAUUUUACAAAUUGUGUUACUUUAGUGGACACGUGGAGACAUGGACGCUGACUGUUGGAAGAAUUCGUCAAUUCAGACUGGCGCAAAGAGCUAUCAGGGCGCGAUGCCAGGAAUUUCAUUGCGAGACAGAAUUCGAAAUGAGGAUAUUCGCCAACGCAAUAAAGUUACCGACAUUGCAAAAAGGAUUAACUCAAGUGGGAAUGGACCGGCUAUAUUUUUCGUAGAGAUGACGAUCAAUGGGGUCGCCUAGUAUUGCUGUGGAGACCUAGCCUGGGUGGCCGAGGUGGCGGGAAACCACGAGCAGAUGGUCGGAUGACACAUAUAGAACGGAGUGGAAACCCACGGAAUGCAGACCAGGAUCAUAUACUUUAGGUAUGAGUUUGUUACUUUUGCUCAUAAUAACAUGGAGUAUGUCACGGCUGCUCCACGGGCUGCAUUGAAGGGCAACAGGAGCGAAAAUGUUAAAAUGGAAAGGAGCUCCCCCUUUCAAUUAGGGAAUCUUAGGAUAUGCUAAGGCAAACAGAAGGAGGCAAGGAACGGGACUGCAUCAAUUGCUGUCUGGAACCAAUCUUGUGGGAUGACUUCUGGACCUGGAAAAACAAUUUCAUCAUCUACCCUAAUACUGACGAAUGUUCUAAAACGUGCUGUAAGGCAGACAUUUCCAAAUGUAACGGAGGAAAGUUUCGAGACAUGUAAUGGUUUCAACAUGCUGCUGAGACCCAACUCAAGAGACGUCAGUUUGUACUGUUUAGUCCAUUCUCUAUUGGGCAUGCUUGUAUAGAGAGGUAUAUAUAUAUAUAUUGGAGUACAGACAUGGUGUUUGGUAUGAGUAUUAUAUACAUCCUUUUGAGUCAAAUAGGACCGGUAGCCACUUUGAACUCCGUGUCCGAAAGGGUCAAAGUAUGGAGCUCCCGGUACUCAGAAAAAAAUUCUGGCCUAUUAGUUUUGAACUUUCGAGUCAAGUUUGGUGUCAUUUUUAAACUGUUCGCUUCGUUUUUAAAUUGAAGAAGAUUAAAAAUCACAGUAAUAUUAUAAAGGCAAAAGUUUGUGAGCAUACCGUGUUUGUUACUUCCUCACGCCACGCCCAAGUGCCUUAACAAAUAUUAUUUAUAAAAUUAAGUAUGGAGGAAGUACGAUAUACCCUAAGUUAACACGUCGCUUCUUCUUGAUCGUGGGUAACACUCGGGGCGCAGUAUAAUGAUUAUUAAAAAUCUUUAUGCUGUCCCCUAUGGUGCGAUGGCGAUCGUUGCAGUACUUUCAAUAUUUUUUUUACAUCAAAUAUUAGAAUCAUCAAAGAUUACUAAUAAAAUAGGCUUUUUAGAAAUAUUUUUUAAAAAUCAUGAUUAGUAUAAAAAUACGGAAAUAUGAGGAUUUGUUUGCAUUUCGUGGCUACUAAAAAUUCAUUAUUAAUAAAUAUUGUGCUAUAUUUUGCUAUGGAACCCUAAAAAAGUAGUUACAUAAAAAUGACACUAAAAUUGACUCAAAGCUCAAACUAAUCGGCCAGAAUUUUUUUCUGAGCAGCAGGAGCUCCAUACUUUGACCCCCUCUCCCCCCUUCGGACACGGAGUUCAAAGUGGCUACCGGUCUUGUUUGACUCGGGAGGACGUGUAUAAUACCCAUGUAGAUGUAGAUGUAGUGUAGGGACGCCUGGCCGGAUACAGGCGGGCUGUCGAUCGCUGGUGCGUUCAUUCAGCCCAAUUCCCUGGAGUUGGAGCUGCAGGUUACUGUCCCGGCUGCCCUCCCACACUUCUCUCCUCAAAUUUUCUUGUUUUCCUGCAGAACAUAAUACCCAUACUAAACGCCAAUGCUCUACUCAAAAAUUCACUUUUUCCCAAUAGAGAACGGACUGUGUUAGACAGUGCAUGUUGUUACACGGUAAAUUUUUCUAGAAGACCAAAUUUAUAAGUUCCUUAGUUAUUCUAUUUUUAACUAAAUAAGUUCUUGUACUAUAAGCAGUAAUCGGAAUAGGCAGAGUAGAUAUAUUUAUUUUUAAACGAAAUGACUUCCUUGCGAUAGUAUUUUUUCAGUACAGAUGGUAUUUUUUUUACGCACUAGUGCGAGAAGUGGUUCAUUAUACGCCAGGUCGAAACUUCGGA